UGUACCUAAGAGUGAGUUGUUGUUGGUGGUUUUUUUUUUUGUUUUUGUUUUUUUCAUGUGAUUUAAGUAUUGAUUAAUCUUUUUUUUUUUUUUUUUAAUAUAUCAAAAAGAUGAUGGGAGAAUGUUUGGGCGCUAUAUGAUGUUUUGAGAUGUUACUUCAAUGAGACUACUUUAGCUGCUUACUUGAGUGACCUUGAUUGUUAACAGGUGUCAUUAAUUGAAAUUGUUUGAACAUGUGAACUCCUGUUUAAUAAUGAUCCUUGUUUGUGUGUGUGUGUGUGUGUGUGUGUGUGUUGCCUGACGAAGGUCUUUGACCGAAACGUUGCAGUUUUAACUACUUUAAUAAAGGGACUUUUUACAGUGUGCAGAUCUUUUUCUGUUCUUUGUAUUUUUGAGAGAAAAAUGUUUAUGCGUGGUUUUUGAAAAAGCAAAAUUUUUAAGUCACUGAUAUAACUCCACAAAACUCAUUCUAAACAUGUUUCCCCAAGACUUUCCAAACAGGAUCUAGUAGUCUAGAGUUUAUUCUUCAAAAUGAUGUGAAAAUCAUAUGGCCUACUCAAUCACAUAAAGCAAUGCAUUGAUUUACAAUUUCUAAGACACUUUUGCUUGGGAAAGGCUGUAUGCGUGGAGGCGGGAAAGCUCCUGAAUAAUCAGUGAUUGACAGCUGAGAGACAAAAGAGUUGAAUAAUGAGCCACUAAUGAGCCUUGUGGGGAUGUUCAACAGGACUGUAACCCUCAGUAAAACCAUGAUAAGGUUUACUUUUCAAUACAAUGUAAACACACACACACACACACACACAAUAUUUCUAUUGAAAUAUUUUCUAUUAAUAUCACAAUUAUAAGUUACCUUUUAAAAACCAUAGUAGCCUAAUCAUGGUAAAGGUACUGUUUGGCCAUCAUAAAGUGAACACAGAACAACUGCCUAUCGUUGUCUGGACUCCUAUUUGUGUUUUUGUAAUCAUUAUAGUAGAAACACAACCAGGGACACGCGUGAUAAACUUAUCAAUGUUUGUUUACAGCCGCCGCCAUUACCUCACGUGUUGAUCAUGAAAGCAGUGAAUGUGUGCACAUGCGAGUGAUCCUGUGUUUAAUAAACUUGCUGUGCGGAGAUAUGCGCUUAGACGCAACUAAAUAAGGAUUGUACUGUUUGCAAUCGCGUAUUUUAUAAGAAUACCAAAAAGCGCGUCGAGUUUCCUGACUCGCGUGUUUGUGUAUGUGCGUUCCCGUCGCCUCAGCUGUUUGACGGAAGACAAAGAAAACACUCGCGUCUGGAGAUACUGACACACAUCCGCAAGUAAAUAAGGAUUUAUAUGUCGGACAUCGAUCCCAUCACACUGACGAAGCACACACACUCGCGUCUGUCUGGAGAUUUAGGCGCGAGUAAACAAGUAUGUGAUGUGUGUAAUCGCAUCUUUUAUAAUGAUACCACAAAGCGCUUCAAAUAUGAGGCAUUGUGUGUUUGUGUGUGCGUUUGGACGUCGAUCGAGUCACACUCGCGUCUGGAGAUAACUUUAGUUACAGUCACGAGUAAACAAGUAUAUGUCAUGUUUCCAGCACUCGGAUUAAAACUCAUUCACAGCAGUGAAUGGCUGCAGAGACGGAAUGGAAUGUCCAUUGACUGUGGGGUUGCCUAAUGAAUAUGGAUGAUCUCUGCUCUUUUCUUCAAUGGAGCGGGGCGUGGCUCAUUAUAGAUAAUGAAGCAACAGAAGAAAGACGGUACAUCUCUCUCUUCUAAUACAGUUAACAACGAAUUACAAUAUUUGUUUUCGAUUUCACUUACAUCUUCCAAAAGCAGACAUUCCAAGCAUUAUGUAGACAUUUAUCUUUUGUUUAUAUGACAAAUAUUCAUUUAGUUAGAGUUAAUUUUUCUGACGUGUUUCUGAAAGGACUUCACUGAGGGAGAGAGAACAAAACGCGCAUCAUGUUUAUUUUCUUAAUUUUGCGAAAAGCACAACAUGCUGUUUUUAUUGGGAGUGGACAGAAAAAAACUAGACAAUUUAACGUUUUAAAUGAUGUAUAAAUCAUAUCUGUAUGUCAAAAAUCAGCAGAGUUAUUUAAAGAGCACCUAUUAUGAGAUACACGUUUUUAAACAUCCUUUUGUGUGUAAGUUUGUAUUAGUACAUGCUAACGAUAUUCAAAAAGUACAUACCUCAAAGAAAACGAUGACGCGAGUUAUCGUCUCUAACGUUCGAAGACUACAAAAAACACUCGGAUUGUAGGCAACAGUUUACUUCCUGGGAUUGGUGACGUAGAUAAGACCAACAUUAUCAUAGUUCAGCCCUCUCUGCUUUGCUUGGGUACGCCCUCAAAGACGGGGGUGGAGAGCGCUGAGUCAGAAGAGAGCUAAAAUGGCGGAGGUUGGGAGUCCCUGCUUUGACUGUGUUUGCAAACUCUUGCUUCAUUGUUUAAGUGAUUAAAUCUCUCGAGUAGACGCUGUCUCUUUAGAUGCAAGGGCAAAAUAGCACUUUAUGGACUUACACAGAGGACAUCAGGUUUAAUACGGUUCCGGAAAAAUCCAGUCAGAAGUUCUUCACGGAGUUUUCACAAUAACUGCUUCUCAUGAACCGAAGCUGCGCGACGUCUCCUCCUGAAAGUUGGAUUACCGUGCACUUCUGGAUCACAGGCUAUUCGCAGCUGGACACAUCCUUCUAACUAACACUGUAUGCAAACAUGCAACAUCAUAACACACAGUACAAGGAGUCAGACAGGCAUAUGAGGAGCAAAGAAACCCACGCAGUAGCAUCGUUUCAAAAUGUUUCCAUCACCAUCAUCAGUGGAUGCCUUUGCCGUCCGUACCCUGAGAUUUCAGAUUUGCUGCAAAAAAUGUGACUUUCCCAUUUAUUGGAAUGCUGUGCAGCCAUCCAUUACAAUGUCACCAAGCCGUAACAAAAGCAGGAGAGGGAAAGUACAAGGCUAUGUUCCCAAAACACAAAAGUGACAUACUUUAUGUGGAUGAUGUGAUCAGGCUUGUGUUUGCUGAGGUAUUUGAAGAUAAGCUGAAGGAAACCCCGAUUCCAAUGGACCUGGCAUCACAGUUUGAGAGACCUUCAAAGGAGGACGUGAUUGCAUGCCAUCUUCAGUGCAGGGGUCGUCGGAAGCCAACAUUCCGAUCGGGAAGCUCCAAGCGUAUUUGGAGAACAACACACGACAGGAUGAUAACCCUAAAGUGUCAUCUUAGAUAGCAUCAGCUGACAAAGCUUUGAUAUGCCAUUUAUCUGAAUAGAUAGCUGUAAGAAGUGAAUUGAACAAUUUUUGAAAGAAGAGCACAAUAUGGUU
This is a long non-coding RNA of Paramisgurnus dabryanus, 3276 nucleotides long. RefSeq lists it as uncharacterized. NCBI's taxonomy places the organism in Eukaryota, Metazoa, Chordata, Actinopteri, Cypriniformes, Cobitidae. The record is from RefSeq and is a predicted model, not a curated record.